This 76-nucleotide transfer RNA is filed under the name Clostridium sp. Its description in RNAcentral is "tRNA-Thr". It matches the Rfam family "tRNA". Rfam says of the family: Transfer RNA (tRNA) molecules are approximately 80 nucleotides in length. Their secondary structure includes four short double-helical elements and three loops (D, anti-codon, and T loops). RNAcentral also lists the same sequence under 7 other names. Lineage: Bacteria; Bacillati; Bacillota; Clostridia; Eubacteriales; Clostridiaceae. The record is from RNAcentral.
GCCGAAAUAGCUCAAUUGGUAGAGCAACUGAUUUGUAAUCAGUAGGUUACGGGUUCAAGUCCUGUUUUCGGCACCA